UUUCUUGGUUCCAUUAGAGGAAGUAAAAGUCGUAACAAGGUUUCCGUAGGUGAACCUGCGGAAGGAUCAUUACCGAGUGGCCCAAGUCCGCAAGGACCGGUUACCCGACCUCUUGUCAUUUGCUCUGGGGUCGCCGGCAAGGUUCGGCCCGCACUUCCUCCAUGUGGGGUUGGGCGGGUCGCGCCGAACUGGCGGCCUCAGCUUCGAUAACUUCGGCGGAAGUGGUAGGUUCGACCUGCCCGCCGCCGGCCGUAUUCAACCUGCAAGUAAUUUUGAAGUCUGAUUUGAAUCAUAAUGAAAAGCAAAACUUUCAACAACGGAUCUCUUGGCUCUGGCAACGAUGAAGAACGCAGCGAAACGCGAAAGGUAAUGCGAAUUGCAGAAUCAGUGAGUCAUCGAAUUUUUGAACGCACAUUGCACCCCUUGGUAUUCCGGGGGGUACGCCUGUUCGAGCGCCAUCACACACCCCAAGCUCUGCUUGAUGUUGGACGAUGCCUUGGCCCUUUUGGGCUGGGGCACGUCUGGAACCCGUGGGCGCCCCCGCCGAACCACGAGCGUAGCAAGACGCAAGUCACUCGCUUCUGUCGGUCUCGGUGGAGGGUCUGCCUAAUCCAUUUCUGAAGAUUGGCCUCGGAUCAGGUGGGGAUACCCGCUGAACUUAAGCAU
Molecule: ribosomal RNA, 666 nt
Filed under: fungal endophyte
Lineage: Eukaryota; Fungi
Description: eukaryotic LSU rRNA
Rfam family: 5.8S ribosomal RNA (bases 306-458)
Source: RNAcentral